AUUCCAGCUCCAAUAGCGUAUAUUAAAGUUGUUGCGGUUAAAAAGCUCGUAGUUGGAUUUCUGCCGAGGAUGACCGGUCCGCCCUGUGGGUGUGCAUCUGGCUCAGCCUUGGCAUCUUCCUGAAGAACGUAGCUGCACUUGACUGUGUGGUGCGGUAUUUAGGACAUUUACUUUGAGGAAAUUAGAGUGUUUCAAGCAAGCGCACGCUUUGAAUACAUUAGCAUGGAAUAAUAAGAUAGGACUUUGGUGGUCUAUUAUGUUGGUUUGCACACCAAGGUAAUGAUUAAUAGGGACAGUUGGGGGUAUCCGUAUUUCGUAGUCAGAGGUGAAAUUCUUGGAUUUACGAAAGACGAACUACUGCGAAAGCAUUUACCAAGGAUGUUUUCAUUA
This 390-nucleotide ribosomal RNA is filed under the name Biecheleria sp. RNAcentral's name for it is "partial small subunit ribosomal RNA". It matches the Rfam family "Eukaryotic small subunit ribosomal RNA", at positions 582 to 975 of the family's 1831-position model. The record is from RNAcentral. Lineage: Eukaryota; Dinophyceae; Suessiales; Biecheleriaceae.